AUUGAACGCUGGCGGCAUGCCUUACACAUACAAGUCGAACGGUAACGGGUCCUUCGGGAUGCCGACGAGUGGCGAACGGGUGAGUAAUAUAUCGGAACGUGCCCAGUAGUGGGGGAUAACUGCUCGAAAGAGCAGCUAAUACCGCAUACGACCUGAGGGUGAAAGGGGGGGAUCGCAAGACCUCUCGCUAUUGGAGCGGCCGAUAUCAGAUUAGCUAGUUGGUGGGGUAAAGGCCUACCAAGGCAACGAUCUGUAGUUGGUCUGGGAGGACGACAAGCCACACUGGGACUGAGACACGGCCCAGACUCCUACGGGAGGCAGCAGUGGGGAAUUUUGGACAAUGGGCGCAAGCCUGAUCCAGCAAUGCCGCGUGCAGGAAGAAGGCCUUCGGGUUGUAAACUGCUUUUGUCAGGGAAGAAAUCUUCUGGGCUAAUACCCCGGGAGGAUGACGGUACCUGAAGAAUAAGCACCGGCUAACUACGUGCCAGCCGCCGCCGUAA
RNAcentral lists this ribosomal RNA (500 nucleotides) under uncultured bacterium. RNAcentral describes it as "partial 16S ribosomal RNA". It matches the Rfam family "Bacterial small subunit ribosomal RNA", at positions 30 to 523 of the family's 1533-position model. The record is from RNAcentral.